This 306-nucleotide unclassified non-coding RNA is filed under the name plant metagenome. RNAcentral's name for it is "partial contains 5.8S ribosomal RNA, internal transcribed spacer 2, and large subunit ribosomal RNA". The stretch from base 1 to 105 matches the Rfam family "5.8S ribosomal RNA", at positions 50 to 154 of the family's 154-position model. The record is from RNAcentral.
GAAAUGCGAUAAGUAGUGUGAAUUGCAGAAUUCAGUGAAUCAUCGAAUCUUUGAACGCACAUUGCGCCCCUUGGUAUUCCAUGGGGCAUGCCUGUUCGAGCGUCAUCUACACCCUCAAGCUCUGCUUGGUGUUGGGCGUCUUUGUCCCGCCUCCGCGCGCGGACUCGCCCCAAAUUCAUUGGCAGCGGUCCUUGCCUCCUCUCGCGCAGCACAUUGCGCUUCUCGAGGUGUUGCGGCCCGCGUCCAGAAAGCAGUCGUUACCGUCUUUGACCUCGGAUCAGGUAGGGAUACCCGCUGAACUUAAGC